RNA transcript from Oncorhynchus gorbuscha (pink salmon), 2584 nucleotides. RefSeq lists it as uncharacterized. NCBI's taxonomy places the organism in Eukaryota, Metazoa, Chordata, Actinopteri, Salmoniformes, Salmonidae. The record is from RefSeq and is a predicted model, not a curated record. The transcript is spliced from 6 exons.
UGGCCAUGGGAGAGACUUGGCAACAGUAAGUAUAUGACUGCAGAAGGUAUCUAUUGUGGUUUCAUUUUUAUCUUCAGCGUAGGUUGCAAUCAUUGCUGUUGUUCUGUUAUAUACCUCUGUGAGUUUACCACAGGCAACAGCCUUACCAUCAAAAAGGAAAUAUCCGACAGACUGAUGUUGGUGAACAGACAGCAGGAGUAUCCUGGAGCAGGAGAUGAAGAGUAGCGGGAACACUGAAGGCACUGUCCCUACAGCUGCAAGAUCAGAUACUCUGCUCAGCCCAGCAUUCAGCCCAACCUGAGACUCGGCAGGUGAAUGGCCUCGUGGGAACGGUUUUCUAUUUUCCAGAAAGGGUGUUGAACUCUGGCAGUUUACUUUAUGGAGACCUUGGCAAUAUUGCACAGGUGCACCCUGGUAAACAAAGUAAUACCAACCUUGAGAAGAGAUUUAAAAACCACCUUCACUGGAACAAUGUUACUGGAGUCUUCACUUUGUCAGACCUACAAAUAGACGAUUCUGGGGUUUAUACUGUGGAGAAUACAGAUAAAGGGAAGACGAAACAUAUAUUUCAGCUGACUGUGUACUAUGUUCUGUCCAAACCUCAGGUGACGGUCCAUGAUAACAUCUCCUGUAGCAUGGUGUGUUCUGUGGAGAACGGGAGAGAGGUGACCCUGUCCUGGUACAAAGGAGGGGAGAUACUCAACCAGACCAGCAGCCCUGACCACAACAUCACCCUCUCUAUACCUCUCAAGGUGGAUGAACAGAACAGAGACUCUUACAGAUGUGAGGCUGCCAACCCAGUCAGCAAGGAGACAGCUGUUGUUCCACAUUCCUGUAGAGAGAGUGAUCCCUCUCAAGGUGACAGAUGGUGAUGAGAGGACUCGAGAUUGUCUUAUUAUUGCUGUAAUCUGUGUUCUGGUUGCCUCAGGACUUGUUGGUCUUGCAAUAUAUCUGAAGAAGAGGAGAAACGGAUACUCACAUGCAGAUUCACCUGAAAGAGAGCAAGAUGACGUUCAGUAUGCAGAGAUAACUCACAUUAAACCAGCAGAAAACCAGGAGGAUCGAACAGGUAUACAAGGACUGGAGUCACUUAGAGACAACCCUAACCUGACAGUUUAUUAUACACUCCAGGUACAUCACAUGGCUGCCAGCGAGGAUGUUGACACUGCAUGAAGUUCCUGAGAGGGUGACAUGAUAAUUCACAUCCCAGAGAAGGCGUUACAUCCUGAAGAGGACGUUAAAGACAAAAUUAUAGUCAAUAUUCAUUUUAGAAAACUUCAUGGAGACACAGUUGUUCCUGGAGACAAUUCCCAUUUAACCAAUGCGCUGUUGUCAUUUCAGUCAUUUCAGAUUUCCUUUGUUGGUCAUCAUCACUGUCUUUUGUUGAAUUGAGCCUUGAUGAGAUUAAAUUCAAUAGCUAUGCCUAGGGUUAUUAGUAGGGUGAUCCCUCUUUUCAAGUGCCCAUUGUCCCAAUGUAUAGGUUAAAACAACUGGAACCUCUUUUAAUACAUUUCACUAGUGUGUUUUCCAUGCUUUGCUGGUCAGAAGCUUCUUUUCAGUUCUGUCUGUUCUGUUGUUUAAAUGUAGGUGCCUCCCCUGUAUCGUUUUAUAGCUGGCCAUUGUUUAGCUUGCCAGUGGAUAGCUGCUGUGUACAUAAAAAGCAGAUGUUUGGUGAGAUAAAGCCACCUACCUACUCCUCAGCAUAAUGGCUAUUAGACUACGUUGGAAACCACCAUAUAGAUUCUGUUGAAACACUUCUGAGUGGUAGAUCUUGAUUUGCCUUUUGACUCAGAAAGUGUUCUUGGUUGACAUUUUACUCUCACAAAAUGCAAUCGUGAUUAAGUGUUGUUCAGAUCUUGCUUUGACAACAACUGUGUUCACACAGUUUGAAUGUACCAGAGUCACAGUUUAGUUUAUUAUGAUGGACCACUUAUUGCUUGUCCUUAUCUACACAGUAUUUAGCUCAACGGGUUAAACAUUAAUCAGCAAUAAGGUUCCAACCGGAGAAUUUCAUUGUCUGAAGAAAAGCACAGGAACGCAAGAACACUCUCUCGUGACAGAGCGUAGGCUUUCUGCCAGACCACCCACUCAAAGAGCUAUUAUGAGCCCCACCUUUAUAAUAGAAUCAUACAACCAGAAUCUAAAGAUGGUGACAUCUUGUGGAAGCCCUAGGAAGUGCAUGCUCAUCCAUAUCUAAGGUGGAUAUCCACUGGCACUGUUUUCUAAAUUGAGUUCUCACUUCCUGUUUGGAUUUCUUCUCAGGUGUUUGUCUGCCAUAUGGGUUCUGUUAUACUCACAGACAUAAUUCAAACAGUUUUAGAAACUUCAGAGUGUUUCCUAUCCACCAGUAAUAAUACUAUGCAUAUAUUCCCAAUUGGGAAAGAGUAGGAGGCCGUUUACUCUGGCCAUGCCUUUCAUCCAAAAGUGAAAAUGCUGCCCCCUAGCCUCAACAGGAUCUUAAGAAUACAAUCACUAGAGAUCCUGGUUGGAGUCCAGGCUCUGUCACAGCCGGCCGUGAACAGGAGUCCCAUGGUGCACAAUUGGCCCAGUGUUGUCCGGGUUAGGGGAGGGUUUGGCCGGCAGG